CGGUGAGGUAGAGGAGCAUACAACAUUAGUAAUCGACAAGAGGAUGACAACGAUGAUAGUUGGUGGAAGGGUUGUUUGCCGAAGCAUAAUAAGGGUCAGACUUAUUAUUGCUGGUACAUCUUUGAAUAAAAGAUGCACUGUCAUGCAAAAUUAAGUGCAUGGAGAACUACUGAUCGA
RNAcentral lists this non-coding RNA (177 nucleotides) under Oceanobacillus iheyensis. RNAcentral describes it as "Lysine sequence". It matches the Rfam family "Lysine riboswitch aptamer". From Rfam's summary of the family: Riboswitches are metabolite binding domains within certain messenger RNAs that serve as precision sensors for their corresponding targets. Allosteric rearrangement of mRNA structure is mediated by ligand binding, and this results in modulation of gene expression. Lineage: Bacteria; Bacillati; Bacillota; Bacilli; Caryophanales; Bacillaceae. RNAcentral also lists the same sequence under 1 other name. The record is from RNAcentral.